GGACUACCGGGGUAUCUAAUCCUGUUUGCUCCCCACGCUUUCGUGCCUGAACGUCGGUGCUGGACCAGGAAGCCGCCUUCGCCACUGAUGUUCCUUCCGAUAUCUACGCAUUUCACUGCUACACCGGAAAUUCCGCUUCCCUCUUCCGCACCCUAGCUAUUCAGUCUCGAAUGCAAUUCCCAGGUUGAGCCCGGGGAUUUCACAUCCGACUUAAAUAACCGUCUACGCACGCUUUACGCCCAGUAAUUCCGAUUAACGCUUGCACCCUCUGUAUUACCGCGGCUGCUGGCAC
RNAcentral lists this ribosomal RNA (292 nucleotides) under uncultured bacterium. RNAcentral's name for it is "partial 16S ribosomal RNA". The record is from RNAcentral.